Molecule: long non-coding RNA, 2481 nt
Filed under: Sus scrofa (pig)
Lineage: Eukaryota; Metazoa; Chordata; Mammalia; Artiodactyla; Suidae
Description: lncRNA (ENSSSCG00030003804.1)
Source: RNAcentral
GUAGUAGGCAAGUGGUUGGACAAAAAGCAAGAAGCGGAUCCAUGUUGCUGGCUUUGGAUUCUUUGAACAAAUGAGACAGGCUCUGCUUUCUGCAAGGAACUCGAGGCAGGACAGCAUGAUGAUACACUAGAAUGAAGGCGAAUUGUCUGUCUGUGAAUGGGCUUCAAAGAGAACUUGGGGAAACACCAGACCAGAGGCUCAUUGGAAUCAGAGCAUACAGAAUAGAAUGGACAGGCCCCCAUCCAGCUCUCACAAGUUCAAGUAUACGCUAACAAGUAUCUGAGUCUUCCACGAAGAACAGGAGGAGAAGCUCCCCCAGCCUGGUCAAGCCUUUUGAACAUCUGUAAAAGUACAUGUGACACGGAGAAGAAGCAGAGAACAAAAGAGCGUGUGGACAAACAUUCAGGAAUCCCAAUCGCAGGAGACUUUGGCCCUCUUUCUAGAUCUAAUUAUAAAACUGCAAAUGAUGCUGGCCUAUUCCAAGGAAGUUGUUGCUCUCACUCUAGAUGUGGUCUCUGGCGACAAGUAAAGGUGGGGAAGAUGGGGGCAGGGAGCGCCUCUUUGCCUCUGUCAUGAUCCAUUGUGAGCCAGUGUGGCCUUUCCAUCAGCCCGGUUGUUGGCUGCAUGCUCAGGAUUCUGAAAAAUCUAGUUACCUCCCUGUAUCUUUCUGUACCUGUAGAGAGUACAUCUGUAUGAUCUAGUCCAGUGGUUCUCAGAAUGUGGAUGAGACGACCUUUUGCUGAAGGCAGAUUUCCACAGGAGGGAGGUUAAGAAAGCCAAUUCUUGGGUUCCACCCCAGAUCUUCAGCAGUCUGUUCUGAUGAGCCUUCCAGGUGAUUCUGAAGCUGGCUUAAGUUUGCAAACCACUUCCCUGGGUCUCUUCCCUCUCACCCUGGCUUUCAAGCUUAGGUGGGCUUCACCGUUGAUUCCAUACGCUGCCCAGAGAAUGGGCUCAGAAACAAAAGAUUUCUUUCUUUACCUCUUGAUAGCCAAGAGGUAAAUAAAGGGCUAGAACUGUGUAGGUACCUACCUGGAUUACAGAGAGCUAUUUGCUGGACUUUGGAAGUCAGCUGUUUGGAAUGUGAGCUGUUUUCCUGGGAGUGGUGGUUAGGUUCCCAUAGCAUCAUAGUUAAUCCUGAAUCCAGCCAAAAUAUUGCUGUGUCACAAUGAAAUGGAGCAGAUCAUGAUGCUCCUGUAGUAUUAGAAACCAAUCAGAACUAAAUAAAGCAAUAAAUAAAACACAGGGAUAGUAUUUUAUUUAUGCCAGUACUGUGGUGGAAGAAAAGGUUGAUUUGGAGGUGGUGAAAAGGUAAAUGGGGAUUUGUCAAGAUUAUGACGGAGUGGCUGGCCUUUCCCUUUAGAAUGUCAUGGUACUAAGUUCUCUAGUUAGAUUUGUCUUGAAUGUGGUUCUGGCCUGUUACUUUAUCUUCUUCUGAAGUCACAUUUCUCACUAGGAGGGAGGUAAAGAAUGCUGAGGCAAGUUGGCAAGAGUUGAAAAGGAGCAUGGAAAGAGUAAGGGACUAAAAGAGAAUGUGGGUUUGCUUUUCAUGAACACGAGCAUCAGCAGAGACAGGACUCGAGUUGUGAGCGGUGAGAGAUGGCUGGGCCAAGAGAGGGUCAGCAUUCUUCGCUGACAAAAGAGAGGAAAGAAAGCAGACAAAAAAGCCGACCACAUCGCUCGGAAGCUGCUGUUCUGGAAGCGUUUCUGCCCCUCGUAUUGUCCUGAGAAUUGGCCCUCAACAGUCACCUUUCAUGUCAUCUUGCUCCUCUCUGGCCACAGAUGGGCAGCUAACCAGAGGCCUUGACAAUGACCACUGAUAUGGCAUAAGAAGAUGAGCUGGACCAAUCCAACGUCCUCCCUUUUCCUUCUAGGCAUUUGAACUUGGAAAUACCCAGAAUGGUUGUUCGAUCUGUGAUGGGAAGAAGUACGUGGCUGUGAGCAUGUUACUUGUUUUCCAGUCAAAUGCUUCUAGCUUGCUUUCCUCUGGUGGCUAAAAUACUUUCUUCAGGGGUUCACCCUGCAUUUAUUCAGGAUUUUAUUUUUGUACCAUAAAAAUGAUCCUCGCUGACGGUUGCAUGGCUGGAUUUGGGGAAAUGUGGUAGCCCUAAUGGAAUUAAUUAAUUGAAUAAUAUUGCCUGACAAAUGGCUCUGUAUACCAAAGAGGGAUUGAGACCUAAUUACCGAUGUCAUUUAUCUCUCUAUUUGCACCCCAACAAUAAAUGACUCGUUUCUCAUUAACGUUGGGUCAUCUUCCAAAAGGAGGAAAAAGAGGCCAAAAUCUCAGGAAGGGAAGAAAAAAAAACCGAUGUCUUUGUUCCCCACCUCAUUAUCCUGAUAAAUCACAACAGACUCUGUUAAUUAGAUGGGCAGCUUUAACUGGCUGACUCCUGUCCAACAAUUACCUCAGAGAGACGCACCACUGGGAAUAUUUCCUUCCCUUGGGAGGAGAUGAAAGGAAGUCUGUAACAAAAAAAAAAAAAA